Molecule: long non-coding RNA, 7593 nt
Organism: Melospiza melodia melodia
Lineage: Eukaryota; Metazoa; Chordata; Aves; Passeriformes; Passerellidae
Exons: 2
Source: RefSeq, a predicted model, not a curated record
UCCCGGUGGGGCGGCCGCCCUCGGGCUGGCGGAGGCGCCGGAGGAGCCCCCGAGCUGCAGCCGUCUCCCUCGGGCUGCUGCCGGUGCUGCGGGCGGAGGCGGCUCCGCCGCGUGUUGGGCGCUGCGAGCAGGGAGCGCUGCGGUAUCGCCGGCAUGACGGGGCUGCUGCCUGCGUUAGUGCUCGUGGCUCUUUGUGCCGUGACAGCGGAUGGAGCGGCGCUGAGCGGGACACCCAGAGAUGGCCGGGAGAAUGCCCAGCGCAGGGAGCGGGCGGGCUGUGUGCUUCGGAUGGCACAGGUGCGAGCUGCAAAGCCACCCCCCCUUCCGCCCCUGCCCUCCCGAGCCCCAGGGAAAAUGCUUUCCAGCAUUGUCGAGCUUCUGAAAGACAAAACUUGUGAUUUGACACUAGCAUCCAGAAAAGGUUUCUGUCUAGAUUAGCAAAUGCCUAAAUUGUUCUUGGUUACAUCCCAUGACCGGUUUUAGGCAGUGACUUCAUACUGCUUUUAGGAUUUUCUUGUACACUGGUGAGAAAAUAGGCAGGUCUGAUAGUGGUUUCACUUUUUUUCUACUUCACGUUCCAUAAGAUUCUUUUAUCCAAGCGAUUGUUUUAAAAUUCUACUGUAAGCGUUUGUGGUUCACUUUUUUUUUCUUUGCAGCACCCGGGCCUUUUUUUUUUUCUCUAAAUCGGGAGUAAAUAUAGCUGAGUAAAAUUACCUUGGUUAUCUUCCUUCUUUUUAAACUUAAUUGUUUUUAUUAAUAAUUCUAUCUGAAUAUGCAGAAAAAGUGAGUAUGUCCUGUAAUCUAUGCUAGCUUUUCUCGUUUACAGGGUACUCACAAAAUAUGUCUCCCUUAGUGUCCCACGGAAACAUUCUGGGUGCAAUCUGAAUUAAGGUAUGUGUUUUCAAAUAAGUAAUCAGUUUAGAUAUUUGCCUGUGUACCUUUUCCUGUAAUUCAGAGCUUGUGUUCUGUGGGUUUUAUGAUAAACCUGUAAAACAUGUAAGAAUGGUUUUGCAAGUCUGAAUCGUUGAAGGCAGCAAUAAGUGGAUUUAAAGCCUGUUCUUGAGCAGACAAAGGGGAAAAGUGUGACUCUGAUGCUGAACUUGUCAUUUUUCAUUUGACUUGCCUUUAAUUAUUGAAGAAGAGAGAGAACUAGGAAAAGAAAUAGAAUUGAUUAUUGAGCACUCCUAAAAAGCUCACCAUGAUUCUGUGUAGAGCCAAAGUGAAGGAUGAUGGAACAGAGCUCUGUGCAUUAGAAGGAAAUAAACCUGAUGUCCACACAGAGUCUUACUAAUUUCUGUUUUUAAAAUGCAAAAUAAGUUUAGGAAGUGUUGGAAGUUAGUAUUUUGGGAAAGAAAUGGCAGUUCCACAAAACAUUCCAUUCCAUUUAAGAGAGGCCCUUGGACUGAUUCAUGUUGUAACUGCUGUCACUGCAAUCAGUUGGUGGUUCAGCCUUGAAACGUGCACUUGGCCUUCUAUAAAGCACUGUUUUGUUUGCCUUUCAGUGCUAUGAGUCUUGAUAAAUUGGAGAAGUGCCCAAGAGAAAUUCAUCAUCCUGAGAUACAAAAGGUAGGAAGUGACUUUUUCUGGUUUGGUUCUUUUUCUUUAUUGUUUUCUGGAAAUAGAAGUAAUUAAGUAUAGAUACUACUGGUUUGUUUCUUCCAGUAGCUGAUAAUACUAAUACCAAUAAUAAUAAUAAUAAUAAUAGUAAAGUAAUACUACUUCAACUGUCUUUAUUUAUCCAUUGAACUGGCCAUUUUAAAUCUAAACUUCUAAACACAAAUCAAACCAUCAUCCUUGUAGAAUCUUUAAUAGGAGUGGGCUAAAGAUCCUGGUUUUGUUGACAGGAUUUAUUGGUUCAUGAACAGCAAGAGGUAAGUACAAGCCUAACUACCCUCUAGCUCACAGACCUGCCCGGUGAAUAGAGCUUUGUUUUUUUGAUGGGCUUGUGAUGACUUUGAGAUCAAUUGCUCAUUCAUUACAGUAAAAAAAAAAAAAUUGUUUUGAGCAUGACAGCAAAAAUAACUUUAAGCACAACUUAAUAAUAAUAAUAGAUCACCAAUUUUAGUUAAUAAUUUUAUGCUAUACUCUUGGGUGAGGGAAGACUCGGACACUCAAUAUGAGAUCAGCAAGCUAUGUUUAUUGCAGAGAGUAUCAGACACUUAUACAGCACAUAAUAAGCUUAUGAAUAUUCUGUAAGCCAAGCGAUCUAUUGGUUAAACUAUACCAUCAACUCUUCCUCAUUCCUUUGGGCCUACAUUCCCUAUUUCCCACGUCUCUCUGUCUACUUGUUAUCCUACCCAGCUAGGCCCAGGCACACGCUAUCUUGCAGGUGCAAAACUCAAAAAUACCUGUGUUCGGUACUUUCCCAGCUCCUGGUCGGCUAACGAGCGAAUGUCUGCGUGACCUCUGUCAUGGAGCCAUUUCUCCACACUAUACUAUCAAAGUUUAAAGGUAAAUUAUUAUAUAUUAGGAGAUGGUGUAAAGUGUAUGUUGUAAUGUGUAGGAUAUAUACAAAGAUACGUACUUGAAAGUCCGUAGAGGAAACAAAUUUUUACGCCUUCUGUUUGACUGUUUGUCAUAUAUUUGGUUUUAUUUCCCAGGGAUCAGUGAAUUUUAACUCUGGAGUCCUCUAUGCUAAGGAUGCUCAGCUUAGAGAUGAUGAAAUGUUCAGUAAUGUAUUUGCUGCAGCUCUGCUUACCCAAGCUUUGGGUUCCCUCUGUCUCACUGGGAGUUGCCCAAUUCAGUUGCAUCUGGUGAAAUUCACCCUGAGACCUUACAGAACCAGCUCCAACUACGUGAGAGCCAUUUGCAGUUCUCUCCAGACACCUGGAGAAUGGGCGACAUUUCUGAGAAUCCGGCGAGCGUGCUUCUAUCAAAACUCAGUCUGUGAAAUUCCUGGGGAAAACCCUUCUGUGUCCUGAAGGGUUCAAACUCUGGUGAGGAUCCAGUUAUCAGGUGCUCACCUGGAUGGUUCCAGCUCUUAAAGUGAACACUUGUACUCUUGCCCUGUAGUUUACAUCUAUUGUAUUUUUGUUAUUUUGCAGGAUUUUUUGUCUUUGCAAAAUAUUGUGCAUUUCACUCUUUGGAACCUCUCAGAUGGUUCUCUGGUGCAGCACCACCCCAGGGGACACUUGCCUGCUGUCCUGAAGGGGUUGGUGGCUAGAAUUGUGAAUCCUGGAGAGUUUAUAAGUCUUCUGUCCCCAGGGAGGUGUCGUGCUUUGUUUACUUUUGUUCUGUUGGUUAGGCGCUGCUUCUCGUUGCAAGUACGAAUUUCAAACUGCCCUGUUCUUAUUUUAACUAUUUUCCUGGUUCUCUCCCUACGGCAGGGAAAGACUCUCGUAUCCUUGUCAUCGGGCUCGGUGCUGUCCAAGAAGAUACAGAGACUAAAAAAAUCAUAAGAAGCAAAAUAUGACUGCAGGGAAAAGAAGCUGGAGAGAACAGAAGGUGAUGUUGUUAUCCUUACCCUGUAUUAGAAACAUCCGCUGUGCUUUGAUGCUGGCAGCUGCCAGGGGCUUGUUAGCUCUUUGUAGGCAGGUGUAGGUGUUCACUUGUAGGUUUUUUCUCUGUUCAAGUCAAUUCAAACUUUGCUAAGCUUAUAUUUGCAGAUUACUCUCUAGCACAGUCCAGCAUGACAUUUUUGAAUGUUGUAAAAAUACCAUGUUACUUGGAAAUUGCUAAUGAAGAGAAGAUUUAGGGGAAAAUAAGAUUUCAGGGUUGGAAGAUGUGAGAAGAAUUUUGUGGGGACGUUAGACUGAAGUAAAGCACACUUGAAGCUGGACUGGCACGCUGGCAGGUCCCCUAUUAAACAGUAGUGCUGACAUUAGCCUGGGGGUUGCCCAUUGUUUCUGUAGAAAUCAAUGUUUCCUGGUCUUCAGAGGUAAGCUGCUUUGAAAAGCUGGAAGGUGCAGCAUGCUGACAAUCCCCGUGCUUUGGAUUAAAAGUAGAUUUCAGAAGGGUCCUAAGCUUUUGUCUUUUCCUAGAAGUCGAUGUAAUCCUAUCGAGGAGUUUUUAGUUCUGUGUUGCCAUGUCAUCCAUCAGAGCCCUGUUGUACUAAUCAUCAUACAAGUACAAAACAAAAAAUCAGACCCUGUCCCAAGCACUUAGAGGCCAGAACACGAUUUCCUCGGGCUGCCGUUUGUGUGCCAUCGGUACUCACCACGAAUUGAGCCCUCUGGCUCUGACAGAGCCCCUGGAUGCUGACGGAAGGGGGCUGGUCACAGACCCUGGAGGUGCCUGUCCCCCAGGGAGGGAGAGGCCGAGGCAGUGUGGCCUGCAGGGAGGGUGUCGUCCCCAGAGAGCAGCCGGCGACUCCAUGCCUGCCCGGGGCUGCGGGUGCACCCUCGGGGUGGACGCCUGCCCUCAGGUUUCCCUCUGGGCACCCGGGGAGGGAACCAGGUCCAUCCGUGUGGCAGCUGCAGGGCCUGCAGGCUCUGGGCCCUGGAGCCGAGUGAGCCUGAGCUGCUGCACGCUUGCUGUGAGCUUUGGGGUGAGCGUGCAUCACUGCAGGCCUGGGAUGGAUUGAAAUGCGCUGAGGAAAGCAGAGGGAGGGAGGGAAAUGCUCUGUUAACAUGUGCCAAUUCUUCUGUCAGACUCAUCACGGCGGGACAGCGUGAAGACUGAAAGUGUAAGAAGAUGUGGAGGGAAACAGAGAAUCUGACAGGAGCAUCGGAGGGACGAGUGCACGAAUUUUGCUUUUUGCUUGGAUGUAAACUCAGGAGUUGAGAGGAAUUUGGGAGUGAGAAGGGACAUCUCAGAAGGAGAAGAAGAAAAAGAGGUUGUUGUUGUUACAGUCCUGGCAAAAUCUUUUGUUCUAGCUAAUAAAAGAAGUUAGUUUAAAAAACAAAAAGGAAAAAAUGUAGUGUUUUUUUUUUCCUUCACUAUGAUAUUCAUUGGUGGUAUAUGGUGUGUUGUUUCAUUUCUUGGUAUUAUUAACUCUGUGUAAAUUGUUUUUUGAGUGAAGCUGACUUUCUGGAUGGGUUGGUUUGUAUUUGAGGCAGGAUUAAUUUCAGUAGGGUUCUUUCAUAGAUUUCUGAUGGGUAUUACUGGGAUUUUGGUUUUGUUUACUGUAUGUAUGAACCUAGAGCUUUGGUAGGGCCAGCUGGGCUGCUGGAGUUUUGGGUGUGAAUUUAUUAGAUGGCUUUUGUUAGAUGCAGUUUUUAAUUUUUGAAAUGUUUUUCAAUGUAGUGGUUUUAAGGUGGUUUUUAAGAAUUCAUUGUAUUGCUUUAUCUUGUUUGUAGUUGGUGUAUGAUAAGGGAUGUGGUGUGAGUUCUUGAACAUUAUGGUUUUGGUGUUCCUAAGUUCUGAUUUCUUUGUGGUUCAAUAGCUUUUUUUAUUUUUAUUUUUUGGGACAGGGGCAUUUAUAUGGUGGGUUUUUAUAGGCAAUAUGUUUUUUAAUUUAGGUAGUGAUAUUUUUUAAUAUUUUAAUAGUUUAGGUUUUUUAUUUUCAUGGUUUUAAUUAUUUUUUUUAAUUUUUUGAAAUAACUUUUAUAGAUUACAUGUUAUUAUUUGUGCAUUAACAUAAAGGUAGAGCUUUGGGGACUUUUUUUAGUAAUGUUUAGGGUCAGUUGUGCAGUUUUGAGUCUAGUGCGUUGGUUUGAUUUAAUUUUUAAUGGGUGUUUGUUUUUAUUAGCAGUUGUGUCAUUUUCAAGGUGUGUUUGAGUUUUUUGGGGUUUUUGAGAUACUGGUUUAGGAGGAAGUUUAUGAUGAGCAUGUGCGGAGGUUUUGGGCUACUUUAUAGUGGGAUUUAAAAUUUAUUUACAGUUAGGUUUAUUUGAGUUUUUAUUAGGGUUCAGUGACGUUGUGGGAUAUUUGUUCCGUUAGUAACAGAAAUAGGUUUUGUUUUGCUGUGCUGCGAUGGGAUGGGCGUGUGCUGCGUGCCGGUGCUGACAAAGGUACAGUAUUGUUGUGGCUCUGGUGCGUCGGGUUAAUGAACUGACAUGGUUUAAUGUAGAGAUGAAAAUAGAAAUAAAUAUACAUUUAAAAAUAAAUAUAAAAUUAGAGUGGUAAACAUAAAUAUAGAUAACAGAUACAUACAUAAAACUAUAAUAUAUGGUAUAUAAUUGUAACAUGUUAUCAUAUAGAUAAAUGAUAGUCUAUUUUAUAUAUAUAUACACAAAGAUAUAUAAAUAUAGAUUGUAAAUAUAAAAAUAUUUAAAUAGAGUUAAAGUAAAUUGGGCAGUUUUAUUAGGGUAUAGGCUGGGGUUUUUAAAUGAUAGCAAUAAAAUAUAAAUUCAGAUAUACAAAUAUAUAUAGAAAUACAAAUAUCUAUACAUAUUUAAUUUAAACAAAUAUAAGUAAGAAAAUAUGUAUAAUACAGAAAAUAUAUUUCUAUGAUUAUAUUAGAAGGUAUUCCCUCUAAUAUAGAUAAAAUCUAUGCAUAAAAUAAAUAAAAAUAUCCAUAUAAAUAUCAUUAUAAUUUUGAAAAAUAAAUUUACUUCGUAAAUUUUAAAUCUGGUUCAAAUAAAGGGGUGUCCUUGGUUUUUAUUUGGUUAGAGGCAGGAGUUUUAUUUUAAAUAAUAUAAGCAAUAUAGAAAUGUGGAUCUUAAGAUAGAAAUAUAUAAUAAAUAUAUAAAGAGAAAUUGCUAAACUAUGAAUAUAAAUUUAAAUAUAAAUAUAUGUAAGUAAUAUGAGGAGUUGUGGCAUGGAAUAUAAAUAACAUUAAAUGGCAAUAUAAAUUAUAAAUGGGAAUAUAAAUAUAAAAAUAUGUAAAUAUAGUUUAAAAGAAAUGGAAUGUUUUGGCUUUUAUUUAAGUAGAGGCAGGGUUUUUAAUUUGAAUAUUAUACGUGUUCCAGAAGUAAAAAUCUUGACGCAGAAAUAUUUAAUCCAUAUAAAAAUAUGAAUAAAAAAAUAUAAAAAAUAUAAAUACCUACUCGCAUCGGAUGUAAUAUAGAAUAUAAAUUUAUUUAUAAAUUGACAUUGGUAAAGAUAAAUAUAUAAGUAAGCAAUAUACAUUAAUAUACAUUAUAAAUACAAAUAUGAAUAUAACAAUUGAACAUUAGGAUAAAAUCUAUUUAAAUAUUUUUUAAAAGAAAGGGUUCGGUUUUUUUUUAUUGUUGUGUUAGAGGCAGGGUUUUUAUUUUAAAUAGUAUGAAUGUAGAUAUUGUUAUAUAUUUCUAAAUAUUGAGAUAUACAAUCAAGAUAUAAAUAUAUAUAUAAACACAAAAUAUAAAUAAAUACAAAUAAUAGGAAGUGAUGUAAUGAAGAAUACAAAUAACAGUAUACAUAAGUAUACAUUUUAAAUGUAAAUGUGAAUAUGAACCUGAAAAAUAGAAUUUUAUAAAAUAUUUAAGUACAGUUUGGAAGAAAGGGGUUCUUUUUGGCUUUAAUGUGGAUGGAGGCAAAGGUUUUAUUUUAAAUAAUCCAAGUGUUACCGAAGUAAAAAUCGUAACAGAAAUGUAUACUUACUAUGUGAAAAUAUUUAUAAAAAUAUACAAAUAAAUUUAAGUUUUAGGGAUAUAUGCAAUAUGGAAUAGAAAUGUAUUUAUAAAAAGAAAUGUAUAAAUGGACAGUGUACAUCAAUAUACGUUGUAAAUAGAAAUGUGAAUAUUAAUAUGAAAAAAUAUUUUAAAAAAUAUUUAAAUAUUUUUUUAAUAA